This 976-nucleotide long non-coding RNA is filed under the name Setaria viridis. RNAcentral's name for it is "long non-coding RNA (SVIR_LNC000887)". Lineage: Eukaryota; Viridiplantae; Streptophyta; Magnoliopsida; Poales; Poaceae. The record is from RNAcentral.
UAGGGAAGAAUGAAGGCAUACUUGUUCCUCAUAUACUGCUAAGUUAAAGAUUGGAUCCUUUGGAGAAGCAAGUUAUACAACCUGAUGAAGAUGUGCAUGUGUGUGGAUGGUGAAUAUGGUGGAUGGUAUAUGGACUCCUUUUUGUAUGAUCCUUCUCUCUCCUUGCUUUCUUUCUUUUGAGACAGGGGCCAUCUUUUUCUUUUCUCUUUUCUUCUUCUUUUUUUUCAUCAUGCUUUCAUGAGCAUGUACUUUUUUUUUCAUAGCCCAAGUCUUUGUCAUGAACUCACAUAGUUAAAGCUCUUUUUGAUUAGUCACACCCUUUGUAUAAAAGUAGAGUAAAAGGGGCAGAUGCCCGUACUUCUGAAAUAAGCAGGAUCCUGACAAUUGCUGCCUUUAAAAUAUGGGAACUAGCAGGGGAGGCUUUGUUUCCCCCUCCAGGGCCAAAACAACAUUAUUAUUAAAACAACUUUCCCUUUAAAAGCCCAAACGGUGUUACACUUUGAUAUAGAUACCUUUUUGCAUAUUAACCCUAACCUCUCCUUGAUUUACCCUACAUGUCAUUAACUCUUCAAUGUUAAGGUACUUGCUCAAUACUUCUGGCAAAAGUACUCAAUCUUGCUUGUUUUGCCAGGUCUUCUAGGGAGCCAGCUUUCAUUGUUCCGCUACAUCUUGAUUGUUGUUUGAUUACUCCUUAAAGGUGAAAUUGACACCGUCAUAACUCUUUCUAUUUUCUCUUCUUCUUACUUUGAUAAUCAUUCCGUUCAACACUGGUGUCAGACUCUGAUCCAGGGAAUGGCAUUGAAUUGCUUAAGUGUGGACACCCAAGGGGCGGUCCCCACAGGUGGAGAUUAAGAAGUGUUAUGAUUCAAAGACCUAGAAUGAGAAUCAGAAUUUUUGUCUAGGUUUUGAUUGUUGGACAUUUAUAUCUUGUACUAUAUAUAGAUCCUAUAUAAGAUAUCACCUUUUCCUCUCUCCC